RNAcentral lists this ribosomal RNA (1264 nucleotides) under Candidatus Woesebacteria bacterium. RNAcentral describes it as "partial 23S ribosomal RNA". It matches the Rfam family "Bacterial large subunit ribosomal RNA", at positions 33 to 1199 of the family's 2925-position model. The record is from RNAcentral. Lineage: Bacteria; Candidatus Woeseibacteriota.
UAGACACAAAUGAGCGAUGAAGGACGCGGUGUAACUGCGAAAUGCUUCGGGGAGGCGUGUAACGGCCUUUGAUCCGGAGAUGUCCGAAUGGGGAAACCCCAUAUGACAAACUCAUAUGACUUCAAACUUGAUUUGAAGAGCGCACUCAGGGAAGUGAAACAUCUCAGUACCUGAAGGAAGAGAGAAUAAAUAUGAUUCCCUGACUAGCGGCGAGCGAAAAGGGAAAAGCCCAAACCUUAACUUCGGUUGAGGGGUUGUAAGGCAGAGACACUUUCUACGCUAAUAUUUUUCGGACCUUUAACCGAAAAAUAUCAGUGCGGAAUAAAGAGUAAAAAAUUUGUUGGUUAGUAGAAGCUUCUGGAAAGGAGCGCCAAAGAACGUGAUAGCCGUGUACACGAAAACUAACAAACUCUUGUUUUUGUUCUUGAGUACCUCGAGGCCAACAAACCUUGAGGGAAUCCGGGAGUACUAUCUCCUAAGGCUAAAUAUCAUUUGUGAUCGAUAGUGAACUAGUACCGUGAGGGAAAGGUGAAAAGCAGGCCGGUGAGGCCGAUGAAAUAAACCUGAAACCGUCCAUCUACAAGGAACGGAUGUCCGCAAGGACGACCGUGUGCCUAUUGAAGAAUGAACCAACGACUUUAUCCACAUUGCCAAGUUUAACCCCACUCUGAUGGGGGAAGGCGUAGCGAAAGCGAGUCUUAAAAGGGCGUUCCAUUCACUAAAAACAGAAAACUUCUGGUUUUCUGUUUUUAGUGGGUUGGUAGCAGUGUGGCUAAGACCCGAAACCAGACGAGCUUGUCCUGACCAGGUUGAAGUUCCGCGAAAGCGGGAUGAAGGACCGCACCGGUGAAUCGUUCAAAAUUCUCGGAUGAGUUGGGAUAAGGAGUGAAAAGCUAAUCGAGUUUGGUAAUAGCUGGUUCUCUCCGAAAUAGUUUUAGGACUAGCCUCGCGUGUUUCCUUUUGGAGGUAGAGCACUGGAUGAAAAUCAAAGGGCGAAAGCUCGGGUUUUCAAUCAAACUCCGAAUGCCGAAAGGUAAAAGCGCGGGAGUCAGACUGCGGGGGCUAAGCUCCGUGGUCGCAAGGGAAACAGCCCAGAUCGCCGUCUAAGGCCCCAAAAUUUCUGCUCAGUGCGAAAGGUAGUUAUUAUCCAGAGACAGAUAGGAGGUUGGCUCAGAGGUAGCCAUCCUUUAAAGAGUGUGUAACAACUCACUAUUCGAGGAUAGUAGCGCCAAAAAUUUACCGGGACUUAAGCAGGAUGCCGACG